AGUUCGUGUCGGGUCCGAGUGAGGUUCUUAAGGGAACCAGAGGUGGAGACCGUAGAGGAUCUCACUUAUGUUGAGCAGCUAGUACGGACUGCAGACACACAAGUCAGAAAGUGUGGAAACAAGGAAAUCCCGAUGGUGACAGCCCCUUAGAAUCACCUUAAGAUGAAAAGUUCACCGGGGAGACCGAGAGUUUAUACUCCAGCAAUGACUGUGUCUCUCUUUUAGAAGAGAGGUUUUUAGGUUUUGCUUGCUUGUUG
This 257-nucleotide long non-coding RNA is filed under the name Manihot esculenta (cassava). RNAcentral describes it as "long non-coding RNA (MESC_LNC003438)". The record is from RNAcentral. Lineage: Eukaryota; Viridiplantae; Streptophyta; Magnoliopsida; Malpighiales; Euphorbiaceae.